CUUGCCUGACUCAGCAAUAUUUGUGCUCUCGUGAUGUUGUCCAACCUUAAAUGUUUGGGAAUAUCACGUGACAAGUGACUUCCUCUCUAGACAUUGGACAUGCAAGAACUCUGAAAACCGCUGUACUAUGCCCAUCUGUGUCUCGCCUACGCCCACGCAAUGCUGUAGCGGUACUGAAGCAAGGCAUCUUUUUAGAAGGACAGAGAAGUGCCUUGGCCUCAGGGAUAUUGCACAGGGCUAUGCCAGUUAGUACUAUGCUCUUAGUACCUAGUAUAGUUGUAACCUUAACCUAGAAGUGUCUACUAAAGGAGUUUCAUGAGUUUUUUUAAGCUUUCCUUGACUGGCUGAGGAUUGUGGGAUUUUUUUAUCUCUCCAAAAAGAAGUACAGCCUGUUUGAGAUUGAAGACAAGUACAGUGUUAUACGAAUGGAUCGGCAAGUUUUUUGGGGAAGAGUUAUGAGAGAAUAAACGAUGGAAGUGUCAGUUGUGGAAGACCCAAGGUACUCAAACUGAUACUGUUUUUAAUCUCAGAUUGUGUGCAUCUGAUGAUGCUUCUUCAGAGUUUACAUCGGCAGACUGUAGCACGUUCGCUGAACCACUAUAUACCAAAGAGGACGUUCAAGAAAAUUGCAUCAUUAUUUCUGUCUUUACAUCACGAGUAGACAUACAAUAAUUAUGUUAAAUUGUUUGUAUAAUGAAUUGUUUAUGAUCUAGAUCUAUAAAAGAGAAGUUAACAUGUUCUUGAACUUCUAUUAACACUG
Molecule: long non-coding RNA, 760 nt
Organism: Halichondria panicea
Lineage: Eukaryota; Metazoa; Porifera; Demospongiae; Suberitida; Halichondriidae
Exons: 2
Source: RefSeq, a predicted model, not a curated record